RNAcentral lists this ribosomal RNA (249 nucleotides) under Chloromonas remiasii. RNAcentral describes it as "partial 26S ribosomal RNA". It matches the Rfam family "Eukaryotic large subunit ribosomal RNA", at positions 1 to 251 of the family's 3401-position model. The record is from RNAcentral. Lineage: Eukaryota; Viridiplantae; Chlorophyta; Chlorophyceae; Chlamydomonadales; Chlamydomonadaceae.
GACCUGAGCUCAGGCAAGAUUACCCGCUGAACUUAAGCAUAUCAAUAAGCGGAGGAAAAGAAACCAACCAGGAUUCCCCUAGUAACGGCGAGCGAACCGGGGAUCAGCCCAACUUGAAAAAUCUCCCUUUUUGGAGAAUUGUAGUCUACAGAAGUGCCCUCUGUGGCCGGAGAAGCUCAAGUUUCGCUGGAAGGCGGCGUCAAAGAGAGUGAGAACCCCGUCAGCUUCUUCUUGGCCGCACCACAGAGG